RNAcentral lists this ribosomal RNA (301 nucleotides) under uncultured bacterium. RNAcentral's name for it is "bacterial SSU rRNA". It matches the Rfam family "Bacterial small subunit ribosomal RNA", at positions 505 to 805 of the family's 1533-position model. The record is from RNAcentral.
GUGUCAGCCGCCGCGGUAAUACGGAGGGGGCUAGCGUUGUUCGGAAUUACUGGGCGUAAAGCGUGCGCAGGCGGUUUUGUAAGACAGAUGUGAAAUCCCCGGGCUUAACCUGGGAACUGCGUUUGUGACUGCAAGGCUAGAGUACGGCAGAGGGGGGUGGAAUUCCACGUGUAGCAGUGAAAUGCGUAGAUAUGUGGAGGAACACCGAUGGCGAAGGCAGCCCCCUGGGCCUGUACUGACGCUCAUGCACGAAAGCGUGGGUAGCAAACAGGAUUAGAUACCCUGGUAGUCCACGCCGUAA